RNAcentral lists this ribosomal RNA (1259 nucleotides) under Enterobacter sp. Its description in RNAcentral is "partial 16S ribosomal RNA". It matches the Rfam family "Bacterial small subunit ribosomal RNA", at positions 79 to 1428 of the family's 1533-position model. Lineage: Bacteria; Pseudomonadati; Pseudomonadota; Gammaproteobacteria; Enterobacterales; Enterobacteriaceae. The record is from RNAcentral.
ACUUGCUGCUUCGCUGACGAGUGGCGGACGGGUGAGUAAUGUCUGGGAAACUGCCUGAUGGAGGGGGAUAACUACUGGAAACGGUAGCUAAUACCGCAUAACGUCGCAAGACCAAAGAGGGGGACCUUCGGGCCUCUUGCCAUCGGAUGUGCCCAGAUGGGAUUAGCUAGGGGGGGUACUCCCGGCGCSCCCUGUGGUUGGGUACCCCCACGGAUGCCGGCCAUCCAGGGGCGCAGUGGAUUCACAAUGGGCGCAACCUGCACCAUCCGGUGUAGAAGAAGGCCUUCGGGUUUAAAUCUUUCAGCGGGGAGGAGGCGAUAAGUAUAACCUUGUCGAUUGCUACCCGCAGAAGAAGCCCGGCUAAUCCGUGCCAGCAGCGCGGUAAUACGGAGGGUGCAGCGUUAAUCGAUAGGGCGUAAAGCGCAGCAGGCGGUCYGUCAAGUCGGAUGUGAAAUCCCCSGGCUCACCUGGGAACUGCUUSGAAACUGGCAGGCUAGAGUCUUGUAGAGGGGGGUAGAAUUCCAGGUGUAGCGRUGAAAUGCGUAGAGAUCGGAGGAAUACCGGUGGCGAAGGCGGCCCCCUGGACAAAGACUGACGCUCAGGUGCGAAAGCGUGGGGAGCAAACRGGAUUAGAUACCCUGGUAGUCCACGCMGUAAACGAYGUCGACUUGGAGGUUGUGCCCUUGAGGCGUGGCUCCGGAGCUAACGCGUUAAGUCGACCGCCUGGGGAGUACGGCCGCARGGUUAAAACUCAAAUGAUUGACGGGGGCCCGCCACAAGCGGUGGAGCUGUGGUUUAAUUCGAUGCAACGSGAAGAACCUUACCUAUCUUGCAUCCCGGAACUUUCCGAAAUGAUUGGUGCCUCGGGAAACUUAAAGGGCUGAUGGCUGUGCCCCCCUSUGAAAGUUGGGUUAUCCCAAGGGGCGCAACCCUUUACCUUUUGGKKGCCAGSGGUUAGGGGCCGGGAAUCUCAAAGGARAUSCCMSYGAUAAACUGGAGGAAGGUGGGGAUGACGUCAAGUCAUCAUGGCCCUUACGAGUAGGGCUACACACGUGCUACAAUGGCGCAUACAAAGAGAAGCGACCUCGCGAGAGCAAGCGGACCUCAUAAAGUGCGUCGUAGUCCGGAUUGGAGUCUGCAACUCGACUCCAUGAAGUCGGAAUCGCUAGUAAUCGUGGAUCAGAAUGCCACGGUGAAUACGUUCCCGGGCCUUGUACACACCGCCCGUCACACCAUGGGAGUGGGUUGCAAAAGAAGUA